ACCUCCUACGGGAGGCAGCAGUGGGGAAUUUUGGACAAUGGGCGAAAGCCUGAUCCAGCAAUGCCGCGUGAGUGACGAAGGCCUUCGGGUUGUAAAGCUCUUUUGUCAGGGAAGACACGGUGAAAGCUAAUAUCUUUUGCUAAUGACGAUACCUGAAGACUAAGCACCGGCUAACUACGUGCCAGCAGCCGCGGUAAUACGUAGGGUGCAAGCGUUAAUCGGAAUUACUGGGCGUAAAGCGUGCGCAGGCGGUUUUGUAAGUCUGAUGUGAAAUCCCCGGGCUCAACCUGGGAAUUGCAUUGGAGACUGCAAGGCUAGAAUCUGGCAGAGGGGGGUAGAAUUCCACGUGUAGCAGUGAAAUGCGUAGAUAUGUGGAGGAACACCGAUGGCGAAGGCAGCCCCCUGGGUCAAGAGUGACGCUCAUGCACGAAAGCGUGGGGGGCAAAAAGGAGUAGAUACCCUAGUAGUCCCA
Molecule: ribosomal RNA, 472 nt
Filed under: uncultured organism
Description: partial 16S ribosomal RNA
Rfam family: Bacterial small subunit ribosomal RNA
Source: RNAcentral